This 254-nucleotide ribosomal RNA is filed under the name uncultured bacterium. Its description in RNAcentral is "partial 16S ribosomal RNA". It matches the Rfam family "Bacterial small subunit ribosomal RNA", at positions 524 to 776 of the family's 1533-position model. The record is from RNAcentral.
UACGGGGGGAGCAAGCGUUGUUCGGAUUUACUGGGCGUAAAGGGCGCGUAGGCGGUCAGCACAAGUCAGUUGUGAAAUCUCCGGGCUUAACUCGGAAAGGUCAACUGAUACUGUGCGACUAGAGUGCAGAAGGGGCAACUGGAAUUCUCGGUGUAGCGGUGAAAUGCGUAGAUAUCAGGAGGAACACCGGUGGCGAAGGCGGGUCUCUGGGCAACUACUGACGCUGAGGAGCGAAAGCGUGGGGAGCGAACAGG